Molecule: unclassified non-coding RNA, 409 nt
Filed under: Mycoplasma sp. ST 26-1
Lineage: Bacteria; Bacillati; Mycoplasmatota; Mollicutes; Mycoplasmatales; Mycoplasmataceae
Description: partial contains 16S ribosomal RNA, 16S-23S ribosomal RNA intergenic spacer, and 23S ribosomal RNA
Rfam family: Bacterial small subunit ribosomal RNA (bases 1-154)
Source: RNAcentral
GUCUUGUACACACCGCCCGUCACACCAUGGGAGCUGGUAAUACCCAAAGUCGGUUUGCUAACCUCGGAGGCGACCGCCUAAGGUAGGACUGGUGACUGGGGUGAAGUCGUAACAAGGUAUCCCUACGAGAACGUGGGGAUGGAUCACCUCCUUUCUACGGAGUACACUUAGUUAUGGAACGAAUAUUUGUAUCCAGUUUUGAGAGAUUUAUCUCUUCUCUGUUCUUUGAAAACUGAAUAUCGACAUUGAUAUAUUAAAAUUAAUAUUUCAAAGUUUAGAUCAACCUAUAGAAUAUUUAUAAAAAAAGACAACAAUAGGUCAUACAACAAACAAAAUAUAACGAAACAACUAUUAAACAAGAUAAGAGUUUUUGGUGGAUGCCUUGGGUCUGGAAGUCGAUGAAGGACUG